Canis lupus familiaris (dog) is the source of this 707-nucleotide long non-coding RNA. RefSeq lists it as uncharacterized. Lineage: Eukaryota; Metazoa; Chordata; Mammalia; Carnivora; Canidae. The transcript is spliced from 3 exons. The record is from RefSeq and is a predicted model, not a curated record.
UUUUUCUGCUCAGGGCAAGUACCACUAAACAUGGUCUCUGACAUAGAGGAGGCACUCAAAAGAUUUUGUGCAAUGAAUGGUUGAGAUAGGAAUGCCAAGUUGCUUGCUUAGUGUAUUUAAGCAUUAAAGGGCCUGGGUAUUUAGAUUCUCAGUUUCAGUAUGACUUGUCUUAUAUGUGUUUAGGAACACUUGCUGGGAUAUUAGUUAUGAUGUUCCAUGGUGUUUCAUUCCUGUCACCAACCCCAGAUCCUCCAGCUGAUCCAGAAAUGUGUCUGAAAGCUGUCCUGUGAAGAUGGAAAGGUAGCAAAUGCUGAUUAAAACAACUAUUUCCUAAAAUGGCGAUAUUUGGGGUACAUAUUUCAAAGUCACCCGCAUGCCAUGCUGGCAGGUGUGAGAAAUUGUGGCGUCAAUCAACCAUUUCAAGACAAAGCAGACAAGCCAGGAGCCAGCCCCAGGUCUCCAUUCUCGCAGAGUUGUCUGGAGUGGUGUGUGUUUCCACUCCUUGCACGUUCUCCAAGUGCCCCCAAGCUUCCCUGGGAAGAGGGGUUCCUGCAGCCACCGACAGGUGGAAGGUCCAACAGACCUCCUUGUUGCCAACUUUCAACAGGUUUGUUUUGUCAGCAUAAUUAAAACUGGUGCGGGGCAUUCUUCUCAUUAAUUUCUGAACUGGUCAAGAAACAGAAAUUUCCCUGGGAUUAUUCUAAUUU